UGGAGACGGCUACUCUGGUGUAUGACCUUAGAUCUCGACGACCAUCCACUCCGAAUCUACAAUAACUAUCUUCAUUUGGUUAAACAUCAUUGUCUUUUUGUAGAUAUGUGAAAAAGUAGAUGUGGAAGAUAAGAGUUGAGCGAAGAUGAGAAGGGAUUGAGGGAGAAGAAGACCAAGAGUCAAGAGACAAUGAGAAGAAAAGAG
This 204-nucleotide long non-coding RNA is filed under the name Capsella rubella. RNAcentral describes it as "long non-coding RNA (CRUB_LNC000832)". Lineage: Eukaryota; Viridiplantae; Streptophyta; Magnoliopsida; Brassicales; Brassicaceae. The record is from RNAcentral.